GCCUUCGUGGUGUAGUGGUCAGCACGCUCGACGCGUAGUCCAGAGGUCCGUGGUUCGAGUCUCGGCGAAGGCA
Molecule: non-coding RNA, 73 nt
Organism: Stegodyphus mimosarum
Lineage: Eukaryota; Metazoa; Arthropoda; Arachnida; Araneae; Eresidae
Source: Rfam